GACGAACGCUGGCGGCGUGCUUAACACAUGCAAGUCGAACGGAAAGGCCCUGCUUUUGUGGGGUGCUCGAGUGGCGAACGGGUGAGUAACACGUGAGUAACCUGCCCUUGACUUUGGGAUAACUUCAGGAAACUGGGGCUAAUACCGGAUAGGAGCUCCUGCUGCACGGUGGGGGUUGGAAAGUUUCGGCGGUUGGGGAUGGACUCGCGGCUUAUCAGCUUGUUGGUGGGGUAGUGGCUUACCAAGGCUUUGACGGGUAGCCGGCCUGAGAGGGUGACCGGCCACAUUGGGACUGAGAUACGGCCCAGACUCCUACGGGAGGCAGCAGUGGGGAAUAUUGCACAAUGGGCGGAAGCCUGAUGCAGCAACGCCGCGUGCGGGAUGACGGCCUUCGGGUUGUAAACCGCUUUCGCCUGUGACGAAGCGUGAGUGACGGUAAUGGGUAAAGAAGCACCGGCUAACUACGUACCAGCAGCCGCGGUGAUACGUAGGGUGCGAGCGUUGUCCGGAUUUAUUGGGCGUAAAGGGCUCGUAGGUGGUUGAUCGCGUCGGAAGUGUAAUCUUGGGGCUUAACCCUGAGCGUGCUUUCGAUACGGGUUGACUUGAGGAAGGUAGGGGAGAAUGGAAUUCCUGGUGGAGCGGUGGAAUGCGCAGAUAUCAGGAGGAACACCAGUGGCGAAGGCGGUUCUCUGGGCCUUUCCUGACGCUGAGGAGCGAAAGCGUGGGGAGCGAACAGGCUUAGAUACCCUGGUAGUCCACGCUGUAAACGGUGGGUACUAGGUGUGGGGUCCAUUCCACGGGUUCCGUGCCGUAGCUAACGCUUUAAGUACCCCGCCUGGGGAGUACGGCCGCAAGGCUAAAACUCAAAGGAAUUGACGGGGCCCCGCACAAGCGGCGGAGCAUGCGGAUUAAUUCGAUGCAACGCGUAGAACCUUACCUGGGUUUGACAUGGAUCGGGAGCGCUCAGAGAUGGGUGUGCCUCUUUUGGGGUCGGUUCACAGGUGGUGCAUGGCUGUCGUCAGCUCGUGUCGUGAGAUGUUGGGUUAAGUCCCGCAACGAGCGCAACCCUUGUUCACUGUUGCCAGCACGUUAUGGUGGGGACUCAGUGGAGACCGCCGGGGUCAACUCGGAGGAAGGUGGGGAUGACGUCAAGUCAUCAUGCCCCUUAUGUCCAGGGCUUCACGCAUGCUACAAUGGCUGGUACAGAGAGUGGCGAGCCUGUGAGGGUGAGCGAAUCUCGGAAAGCCGGUCUCAGUUCGGAUUGGGGUCUGCAACUCGACCUCAUGAAGUCGGAGUCGCUAGUAAUCGCAGAUCAGCAACGCUGCGGUGAAUACGUUCCCGGGGCU
This 1346-nucleotide ribosomal RNA is filed under the name uncultured bacterium. RNAcentral describes it as "bacterial SSU rRNA". It matches the Rfam family "Bacterial small subunit ribosomal RNA", at positions 28 to 1381 of the family's 1533-position model. The record is from RNAcentral.